Molecule: long non-coding RNA, 539 nt
Filed under: Salvia miltiorrhiza (redroot sage)
Lineage: Eukaryota; Viridiplantae; Streptophyta; Magnoliopsida; Lamiales; Lamiaceae
Description: long non-coding RNA (SMIL_LNC007448)
Source: RNAcentral
CUGCCUGUCGUCGCCCUCCUGCGCCACCACUCGGCCUCCCCCUGUCGUCGCCCUCCUGCGCCACCGUUCGCCGCCGCAGUCAUCCCAGCCUCCCCAGUCGGCUCUCACUCCACCAAUUCAUCCCAAUUCCCAAUUCAUCCCAAUUCCCUCAGUUAAGAAGGCGAUCGAGGGGUGAGAAUGUUCGAUGGGAGCGAGCAGUUCCACCAAUUCAUAGCUUCGUCGAGAGCUUCACUACUCAUCUCUCUUCCCUUCCCCACUCUCCCCUCCUUCGACCCCUACGCGCCGCCGCUGCACCACCCUUCCUCCGCCAAGAAGUACCCCUUAAUCUCCACCAAUCUCGCCCUCGAGAGCGACCCCUCCACCGCCGAUCCAUGGUCGCACGACGAGCUCCUCGCGCUGCUCAAACUCAGAUCUAAAUUCUUCUUCUUUUUUUUAAUGCAGAUUUCGAAUUUUGACCGGGUAAUUUCGGGUACCCGAAUACCCGACUCGGGUACCCGAGUCGGGUAUUAGGGUACCCGAUUUCAUUUUCGGGGUCGGGG